The sequence is a transfer RNA, 75 nucleotides long. It matches the Rfam family "tRNA". From Rfam's summary of the family: Transfer RNA (tRNA) molecules are approximately 80 nucleotides in length. Their secondary structure includes four short double-helical elements and three loops (D, anti-codon, and T loops). The record is from Rfam.
AGCGCUGUGGUGAAGCGGCAUUAACACACUCGACUUUCUAUCGAGCAUUCGCGGGUUCGAGUCCCGUCAGCGCUA